Molecule: ribosomal RNA, 301 nt
Filed under: uncultured bacterium
Lineage: Bacteria
Description: partial 16S ribosomal RNA
Rfam family: Bacterial small subunit ribosomal RNA
Source: RNAcentral
CAGCAGCCGCGGUAAAACGGAGGGUGCUAGCGUUGUUCGGAAUCACUGGGCGUAAAGGGCGCGUAGGCGGCCUGUUAAGUCGGAUGUGAAAGCCCGGGGCUCAACCCCGGAACUGCAUCCGAGACUGGCAGGCUUGAGACCGGGAGAGGAGGGUGGAAUAUCCAGUGUAGAGGUGAAAUUCGUAGAUAUUGGAUGGAACACCGGUGGCGAAAGCGGCUCUCUGGCCCGGAUCUGACGCUGAGGCGCGAAAGCGUGGGGAGCAAACAGGAUUAGAUACCCGAGUAGUCCCUGUCUCUUAUAC